This is a non-coding RNA of Schistosoma mansoni, 45 nucleotides long. NCBI's taxonomy places the organism in Eukaryota, Metazoa, Platyhelminthes, Trematoda, Strigeidida, Schistosomatidae. The record is from Rfam.
ACCCAGCUGACGAGUCCCAAAUAGGACGAAACGGGUGUCUUGGAU